This is a long non-coding RNA of Culex pipiens pallens (northern house mosquito), 867 nucleotides long. RefSeq lists it as uncharacterized. NCBI's taxonomy places the organism in Eukaryota, Metazoa, Arthropoda, Insecta, Diptera, Culicidae. The transcript is spliced from 2 exons. The record is from RefSeq and is a predicted model, not a curated record.
CCUAGGGGUCGGACAGAUCGGUCAAUACAUUAUCAACGCAUCAAAAUAAUUGGUCAGUAUAUCGACAUUUCGUCAAUAUAUUAACGAAAUCCCACCAUGCCUAUAGGAACCUUGGUGAGUUGAAAUGUCAUAUUCAAAUCAAAACAAAACAAAUUUCACCGGUUUCGGUUACAGUCACGACGUCGUUCCAGAAAACCAAACGGAACCCAUGAAAAAGUGGCCUGGGCGCCGUUUCGGCGCUGUUCUACAUGGAAAGUGACGACCUGCUUUCACCCCCAAAUCGGUUCCAAAUCAUAGGACAUAGUCUCGUUACGGUGAACCAGAUCAACCAACUGCCGGAUGCGGAUGCGGAGUCGAGCUGAUGGACGUGUUUGAGCGGGUUCGAGUGAGCGGAGGCCAGUGGAAGUUGGACGUGCAGAUUUCGGUCCGGUCCGAUCGAAUGCUGUUGAAGAAGCGGGACAGGAGCGAGGAAGGGUUGAACUGGAGCAAUUGAGGAGACUCUUUUCCGGUUCUAAACAACCUCGGCGAGCUUCGCUCGUUCAAGCGCAUCCGGUACGAUCGCCAGUACCAGAUUCAAUCCCAACGUAGCCACGGGCGGCGGCGGUCGAAAGAUUCCGGGAACCAACAACACGAUUUACAUUGUUUCGGCACUUGUGCGGAAGUUUUAAGCGGAACGCGGAGGUGCUAAAUCCAUUUCGUCCCAGUUGCUGCACUUUUUCAACCAGACCUACAAACGGUUCGCGGGAUACAUGCCGACGAAGAUUUCAAACUCAUUGUUUUAAAUUUUUUGUAUAAUUCUUUAAUUUGCUGUUUUUUUGUUGUAAAUAUAGUUGUGUCUCCGCUUUUUAUUGAUAAACCACCGAAAAA